Molecule: ribosomal RNA, 160 nt
Filed under: uncultured bacterium
Lineage: Bacteria
Description: partial 16S ribosomal RNA
Rfam family: Bacterial small subunit ribosomal RNA
Source: RNAcentral
UGGAAUUGCUAGUAAUCACAGGUCAGCAUACUGUGGUGAAUACGUUCCCGGGCCUUGUACACACCGCCCGUCACACCAUGAGAGUUGAGAAUACCCGAAGCCCAUGUCAAAGUGGUCGAAGGUAGGCUUGAUGAUUGGGGUGAAGUCGUAACAAGGUAUC